UACGUAGGGUGCGAGCGUUAAUCGGAAUUACUGGGCGUAAAGCGAGCGCAGACGGUUACUUAAGCAGGAUGUGAAAUCCCCGGGCUCAACCUGGGAACUGCGUUCUGAACUGGGUAGCUAGAGUAUGUCAGAGGGGGGUAGAAUUCCACGUGUAGCAGUGAAAUGCGUAGAGAUGUGGAGGAAUACCGAUGGCGAAGGCAGCCCCCUGGGAUAAUACUGACGUUCAUGCUCGAAAGCGUGGGUAGCAAAC
Molecule: ribosomal RNA, 250 nt
Filed under: uncultured bacterium
Lineage: Bacteria
Description: partial 16S ribosomal RNA
Rfam family: Bacterial small subunit ribosomal RNA
Source: RNAcentral